CGUUGUCCGGAUUUAUUGGGCGUAAAGAGCGUGUAGGCGGCCAGGUAGGUCUGCUGUGAAAACUCGAGGCUCAACCUCGAGACGUCGGCGGAAACCAUCUGGCUAGAGUCCGGAAGAGGAGAGUGGAAUUCCUGGUGUAGCGGUGAAAUGCGCAGAUAUCAGGAAGAACACCCGUGGCGAAGGCGGCUCUCUGGGACGGUACUGACGCUGAGACGCGAAAGCGUGGGGAGCGAACAGG
Molecule: ribosomal RNA, 238 nt
Filed under: uncultured bacterium
Lineage: Bacteria
Description: partial 16S ribosomal RNA
Rfam family: Bacterial small subunit ribosomal RNA
Source: RNAcentral